UACGAGGGGGGCGAGCGUUGUUCGGAAUUACUGGGCGUAAAGGGUGCGUAGGUGGUCGUUUAAGUCCGUUGUGAAAUCCCUGGGCUCAACCUGGGAAUGGCAGUGGAUACUGGACGGCUAGAAUGCGGUAGAGGGUAGUGGAAUUCCCGGUGUAGCAGUGAAAUGCGUAGAGAUCGGGAGGAACACCAGUGGCGAAGGCGGCUACCUGGACCAGCACUGACACUGAAGCACGAAAGCGUGGGGAGCAAACAGG
RNAcentral lists this ribosomal RNA (253 nucleotides) under uncultured bacterium. RNAcentral describes it as "partial 16S ribosomal RNA". It matches the Rfam family "Bacterial small subunit ribosomal RNA", at positions 524 to 776 of the family's 1533-position model. The record is from RNAcentral.